Molecule: transfer RNA, 70 nt
Filed under: Fukomys damarensis (Damara mole-rat)
Lineage: Eukaryota; Metazoa; Chordata; Mammalia; Rodentia; Bathyergidae
Rfam family: tRNA
About the family: Transfer RNA (tRNA) molecules are approximately 80 nucleotides in length.
Source: Rfam by way of RNAcentral
UGGAAUGUAGCUCAGUGGUACAGCUCCUGCCUGGCAAGUAUGAGGCCCUGAGUUCAAUUCCCAGUACCAA